CAUAAUCUUUUUUUUAAUAAAUACAAAAUUUUAUUUAUUUAUUUGUUUUUGGUUGUGCUGGGUCUCCGUUGUUGCGUGCAGGCUUUCUCUGGUUGCAGAGAGCCGAGAGUACUCUCUAGUUGCGGUGAGCAGGUUUCUCUUUGCCGUGGCUUCUCUUCUUGAGGAGUACAGUCUCUAGCACGCGGGGGCUUCAGUAAGUUGCGGCACGUGGCCUUAGUUGUUCCGAGGCACAUGGAAUCUUCCGGGACUAGGGAUCAAAUCUGUGUCUCCUGCACUGACAGGCAGAUUCUUAUCCACUCCACCACCAGGAAAGAUCCCCCCUUCCCCACAGUCUUCCGACUUCCUCCUCUACCUUCUUUUGCCCCCAGCUGCCUGGCCUUUUGUGCUGAUUCUGGUUGCUUACAAAGUUAGUUUGCAUUCUCUCUCUUUUCUGUCUUUCUUUGGGGCUGUUUCAAAGCUCCCCCCACAGCCAAAGGUGUGCUGCUGGUGUCUUUGUUGCAGCCUCUGCAGGUCCAAGUCCACCUCCUCUCCCACCCCCACAAUCUGCUGCUCUUUUUGUUCCUUAUUUCCAGUCCUGAGUGUGCUUCUUCCCCACCAUGCCUCUGCGGCCUCGCCUCUCUUUUAAGCCCAGGUUGGAAUCUUUUCAUCAUGCUGCCUCAGCCUGAAAAGACGCCUAUUUUUUUUUUUUUUUUCUGCUCCUAAACUUAGAUUUAUGGCCCUUGUCAGGCCUUCCUGCCGUGGCCUCUGACAGCCCCUGCCUUUCCUAACAUCAGAUUCAUUGCUGUUCCUAAGGUCCUUUAAGAUUUUAAUGCUAAGUCUAUAAAUUUCGUUUCCUUUCUGCUUUAACCUUUCUUUAGACCUUCCCAUUGUCUGAUGGGAUGUCCCGCAGGCGUUGAUUUGCAGCUCUGUUCCCGCGCUCUAGGGAGGAUAUGCCCUGCAAGGCUACUGCUGAAAGCAGGAGAGACGUAUGAGGCUGACCUGGAUCCCACCAGGAGUCCAGAACCAAGCCCUGCUGAGCUCAUGCUAGAUCAGCUUGCCCCCAGACCACCAACAGGUGCUGUGCAACGUCUCUCAAGAAGGUUUGCCUUGGAAGCUGUGACACAAGGCAAGGCGUGUGGUUGACUCACCUGGUACCUGAUGAAAUCCUAAUAGCUGCUUUACUGUACACAUGUCCUGAUGAUUUGUUUGUUUCCGGUUUCUUUGUUUAAUAAUUAUGGUUUGAGGCUAAAGAUGUGGGAAUGGGAAAGGAAGAUUUUGAUUUUGUGUGAGCAUGUGUGUAUGUGGUAAUACUAAACUAAGAAAUAAAUCCAGUUCAACUACAUAUCAGAUUUCAUCAAUCGCUGGC
Molecule: long non-coding RNA, 1345 nt
Filed under: Capra hircus (goat)
Lineage: Eukaryota; Metazoa; Chordata; Mammalia; Artiodactyla; Bovidae
Description: lncRNA (ENSCHIG00010002059.1)
Source: RNAcentral